GUAGGUGGCAAGCGUUGUCCGGAAUUAUUGGGCGUAAAGCGCGCGCAGGCGGUCCUUUAAGUCUGAUGUGAAAGCCCACGGCUCAACCGUGGAGGGUCAUUGGAAACUGGGGGACUUGAGUACAGAAGAGGAAAGCGGAAUUCCAAGUGUAGCGAUGAAAUGCGUAGAGAUUUGGAGGAACACCAGUGGCGAAGGCGGCUUUCUGGUCUGUAACUGACGCUGAGGCGCGAAAGCGUGGGGAGCAAACAGGGAUUAGAUACCCUGGUAGUCCACGCCGUAAACGAUGAGUGCUAAGUGUUAGGGGGUUUCCCGCCCCUUAGUGCUGCAGCUAACGCAUUAAGCACUCCGCCUGGGGAGUACGGCCGCAAGGCUG
RNAcentral lists this ribosomal RNA (373 nucleotides) under uncultured organism. RNAcentral describes it as "partial 16S ribosomal RNA". It matches the Rfam family "Bacterial small subunit ribosomal RNA", at positions 527 to 896 of the family's 1533-position model. The record is from RNAcentral.